This 276-nucleotide long non-coding RNA is filed under the name Ananas comosus (pineapple). RNAcentral's name for it is "long non-coding RNA (ACOM_LNC044883)". Lineage: Eukaryota; Viridiplantae; Streptophyta; Magnoliopsida; Poales; Bromeliaceae. The record is from RNAcentral.
GUGAAACUCGGAAGUUGGAACCAGAUUGCAAGUGGCGCGUGGCCCCGUGGGGAGGUCCGAUGGCAAGUGUAAGGAAGUGAAUUCUCGAAAUCCGAGAGUUGUACUUCGUCCAGAAUCGAUUAAUUGUUGAGUGGGUAUGCUUCGGAAAAGCCGAAGAUGUCUAAAGCACCAAAAGUGCAUUGGAUGGAGUCCACGAGAGCUAAUAGUGCAAAAGUCUGCACUUGGUAGGUUCAGCUCUCGGGGACCCGUCCCUGGUACGAGGGACCUGUUCCCAUA